This 1208-nucleotide long non-coding RNA is filed under the name Schizosaccharomyces pombe (fission yeast). Lineage: Eukaryota; Fungi; Ascomycota; Schizosaccharomycetes; Schizosaccharomycetales; Schizosaccharomycetaceae. The record is from RNAcentral.
UCGAAUAGCAAACAACACUCGCCUUAUAUACAUUUUCAUGCUUACCAAGAUGUAAUAUAACGAAGCGUAGCAUACACUACUUUAGGAAGUAAAUGUCCGAAACCAUUUGAUUGAUCCCGAUAAGUAUACAGUGGAGGCGCGUAGAAGAUGUAAGCAACUUACAAUUGAUGUUGAAGCGAUUUACAAAGAGGCGGAUGUCUUUCUUUAUCUAAACGACCUGCUAAACCUAACGUCAAAUUGUUAUGCUUGGAGGGAAAGCACAAAAACUGUUUCUCUCCUAAAGUCGACUUUAAUAAAAGAAUCCUCCUAUUUAUUUACAUGCUGCAAUUAUCCGACAAUUCAUACUUUUGAGAUGCUUCGUCAUACUUUUAAAACGUACAAAACAAUAAAGAAUUACUAAAUGAAAUUGCUCAUCAUAUAUCCGGCGUAUAAGUCAUGUCUUUACUACCUUUAUGGAAAGUUGCAUACAUUUUUUAGCGAUCAAUGGUAACAGGCGUGAACCGAUUGCAUCGGAAAUAUGGAUAUAAGCGUUCUACCAGAUAAUUUCUUGGUAUGUUACCGAUCAGCGUCUGCAAUGUCCGUAAUUUUUUGAUGGAUUAGGAUACUGACUACCGACACCCAAUAUUCUUUAUCUUAUUUUGUGGGGACUGAGGUAUCCAAGUCGCCGAAGAAUGAUCGAUGUAUCCAUCUUGCGAGAUAUUUGCAUGUCCAUGGAAAUAGAUUUUAUCAAUACUAAUUAAGAAGCCGCAAGUAGAGCCUUUCCUAACAAGGGCUUUAUGCAUCGCUUUAUAUACGCUGCUUCAAUUGUCAUUAGAUUUUUGUUAUGCAGUAAUGUUUAACAUUGUUUACCUUGAAACAAGAUCGUUGAACUGGAAAUGUAGUAAUACUUCAAGGACUCCUCGUGUCCUGUUUGUUGUUUAAUAUAAACAUACCAGGAAUUGAUUGGUAUAACAAUAACUGACUAGUAAAAAAAAUCUGAAAAGAAACACAUAUUAUUUAUAACACUGCAAUGUACCUAAAAACUGAAAUACUCGUUUUCCACUGCUGUCUUAUAGACUCAUUUGAAAGGGUUUCAGCGUUUUUGUAUGCAGUCAUCCUCCCUAUGAAACUAGUUGGCCAUAAAGCGGUAGUAAUUACUUUUGUUUUUCAAGCUAAUAGCGGAUGAGUAGAAGUACCAAAAAAUUUACAACAAACUUUAUCAAAAUAAC